This 429-nucleotide ribosomal RNA is filed under the name Savalia sp. FS-2007. Its description in RNAcentral is "partial 16S ribosomal RNA". It matches the Rfam family "Bacterial large subunit ribosomal RNA", at positions 2006 to 2474 of the family's 2925-position model. Lineage: Eukaryota; Metazoa; Cnidaria; Anthozoa; Zoantharia; Parazoanthidae. The record is from RNAcentral.
GAAGGCCCCACUGUCUUAAGGAAAUUCCCAGUGAAAUUGAAUUCGUAGUGAAGAUGCUACGUCCAAUUUGUUAGACGAAAAGACCCCGUUGAGCUUUACUGGGGCACUUACACGGCCGAAUUGAAAUGGGCGGCUUAGACUAUGUGGCAGCCCCCCGUCGGGGCAGAUGAAACCCCACUCCCCCAUGUCAAAGGGGCUAACCCCCCCUCGGGGGGGGACAGUGUAAGUAGGACAGUUUGGUUGGGGCGACCGCCUUUUAGAGAGUAACGAAGGUGCGCUUAAGGUGCGCAAUUAAUGACUGAAGCCUGACUGCGAGGGGGACACCCCGAGCAGACACCCCCCAGCCCGCGAGGGCGGGGGUGGGCCAUAGUGACCCGUUAAUUUAGAGUGGAAUAGUUAACGAUCAACGAAUAAAAGUUACCACGGGGA